This is a long non-coding RNA of Rosa rugosa (rugosa rose), 1077 nucleotides long. RefSeq lists it as uncharacterized. The record is from RefSeq and is a predicted model, not a curated record. NCBI's taxonomy places the organism in Eukaryota, Viridiplantae, Streptophyta, Magnoliopsida, Rosales, Rosaceae. The transcript has 3 exons.
UCUCCACUCUUCUGAUUCGGUGUCCGUGGAGGAUCUUCUUAUUCGAUGGCUAUUGGUUUUGGGUGAAGGAUGAGUGUUGUUUUAGAAUUGAUUUGGGUUUUGAUGUUUUAACUUUAGAUUUGUGUGGAUUCAAAAUCUUUAAUCAGAAACUCAAAAUCGUUGAAGAGUAACUAAUGUUAACGAUUGUUAAUUGACAUUGUUUUGGUAUCUUCUGGCAAUUGGUGUAAAACCUUUGCAAUGUUUUGAUUCAAUUUGUGGCCUGCAAUUUAAUUAAUACGUAAUUCAUAUUUGUUUCAAAAAGAAUUGAGCAAAUACAGUUGGGUUCAUAGGUAAGGCAUGCCUAUGCAUAUUGCAGAUUAAAGUUUGAGUUCUGCAAUUGAAGGUUUAACAUUUUUCUUUUCAGGACUUCAGGAUUUGGAAGUUAUAUAAGGGGUUCAAACCAGGUGGGUUUUCUCUGGCCCAUGCUUUUGGUUUAGUUUGGAUUCUUAGAUAAGUUGCUGGAAUUGAUGCAGAGAGAAUGGGUUUGGGUACCAGUACAAUGGCCAGCAGUGUCUAAUUUAUGUCAUUUCCAAUGUAAGCAAAAGGAAUGUGAAGAGGAAUGAGUAUGUAUUGUUUGAAGCUCCUAGGCAACAGCAAAAGAAGGCCUCCAAAAAGAGAGCUUGAAAAAACAAUGAAAUCUACAUUCAUUCGUGAGAUACAAGCUUUUCAGUACAACUUCAAAAUGAGAGUUUGUGUAUCAAGAGUAUGGAGACCAAAGAAGUUCAAUACUGACAUAUAUGAUGGCCUCCAUUAUGUCUUAGUUGACAAAAGAGCAACAACUGUUUUUUGAAUCAACUCCAGCAACAACUUUUCCUGACCAACUCCAGCAUCUAAUGCAGCUGCAACUGAAGCAAUCAGCUAGAGCAUUUUGUGCAACUGUGAUUGGAGCAAUCACUUUUUUGAACAAGCUCCAGCAAUAACCUUUGCUAGAUUAACUUGAGACCCUUUUGUAAAACUAGCAUUGUUGCACCGGCUCCAGUUGAACAAGCUUCAACUAAAAUGUAACAUGUAUAAAAACUCUUUGAUACUUUAAUAAUA